RNAcentral lists this ribosomal RNA (253 nucleotides) under uncultured bacterium. Its description in RNAcentral is "partial 16S ribosomal RNA". It matches the Rfam family "Bacterial small subunit ribosomal RNA", at positions 524 to 776 of the family's 1533-position model. The record is from RNAcentral.
UACAGAGGGUGCGAGCGUUGUUCGGAAUCAUUGGGCGUAAAGGGCGCGUAGGCGGCUUGCCAAGUCAGUGGUGAAAUCCUGCAGCUUAACUGCAGAAGUGCCUUUGAUACUGGCGAGCUCGAGGGAGGUAGGGGUAUGUGGAACUUCUGGUGGAGCGGUGAAAUGCGUUGAUAUCAGAAGGAACGCCGGUGGCGAAAGCGACGUACUGGACCUCUUCUGACGCUGAGGCGCGAAAGCUAGGGGAGCAAACGGG